Molecule: transfer RNA, 60 nt
Filed under: Stygobromus indentatus
Lineage: Eukaryota; Metazoa; Arthropoda; Malacostraca; Amphipoda; Crangonyctidae
Description: tRNA-Ile
Source: RNAcentral
AAUAAUAUGCCUGAUUAUAGGAUUACUUUGAUAUGGUAAGCAAGCCUCUGGCUAUUAUUG